GCCGAAUUGCUCAGUUUCAAAUGGAGUUUGUUCCACUUGUUUCUAGGAUAGAGUCUGAAAAAAACCCACCUCAUCUCCUGAUGUUAGCAUCUUUCAGACUUUCCUAAAUUUAAAGUUGGCGUAGGAUUCUUGACACCUUCUUAUUGGAGGAGUGUCUAGCACCCAUAGAUCAAAUAAUGUCUGGUCUGCAAUUGUCAGACAAUGCUUUAGUGGACGUGUUUGGCACCUGAGAGAUACGAACACAUCAUUUAAUAAUACGUUUUCCGUGCAUGAUGCUUGACUAGUGAGCAUUUAUAGUUCAUUGAAAGGUACUCCAAAGAUCCAGCUUCAUAAAUACCCAUGUUCUGGAGUUGGUCUAGAAGAUGACCAUCAGUAUGACUACGUGGUUGCAUCAGAUGGUGAAUGCAAAGAAGAUGCAAUCAUCUUGAACCAAGAGCUCCCUGUUCUACACCAAAGUGCCCCAUUAUUGCCACAGAUUUGAGAAACACCUUAGAUUUGGGUUUAGAAAAGGUAUAUAACAACACAAUGGGAAUAUAUUUCACAGUCACAUUCAUGUGUGCAAAAUGGAAAUGAUUUCUUUAUAACUCACUUUAGCUCGUGGGUUAUUUCACUAAUGAUGGAAAACCUAACUCUGUAAUACAAAGUAAUCUCAGUUACUUGCAGUUUAAACUCAAUGUUUUUUGGAUAAAUAGUCAAAUUAGGAUUUUCUACUUCUAUUUCCUACUAUCCCUUCUGGGGGAGUAACAUGUAGGUUCUGAAUGAUCCAGGUCCUGGGUGGUCUAUCAUCCUGACUUUGGGAAAGGGGAACAUGGUUCAUGGGCUUCAGUAAACCACCUAGUUGGCUUCUUCUGAGAUGAAUAAUCUGUGUUUCCCUUGCAUUGGUUGCCUAUCCUCCUACAGCCGUGCUGAAAUGUCUGUGCCCCCUUGGCUCAUCAGUCCCCAGGACCUCACAAGUCACUCUGUCUUCCUCAUCCUGACCCCUCCAGGUCCACUGGCCUCACUUUCAGUCAUUUUUUGUCCUUCUUUAGGGGGCAUGAUAGUUUUUUCUAAUUAGAUCUUUUAAAAAUAUGGUAAAAUAUGUAUAAGAAUUUUCAUUUUAAUCAUUUUAAAGUGUACAUUUCAGUGGCAUUCUUGUUCAUCUUUAUAUUGUCAAGCCACCAUCAGCACUACCCAUCUCCACAAUACUUUCAUCACCUCAAACUGAAGCUCAGUCCCUAUUAAAGAAUAGCUCUGUAUUCUCCCCUCCCUCUAGCCCCUGGUAACCACUAGUCUACUUUCUGUCUGUAUGAAUUUGAUUGUUCUAAAUAUUUCACAUAAGUGGAAUCCUACAGGAUUUGUCCUUUUGCAUCUGGCUCAUUUCACUUAGCAUAAUUUUUUUUUUUUUUU
Piliocolobus tephrosceles (Ugandan red Colobus) is the source of this 1386-nucleotide long non-coding RNA. RefSeq lists it as uncharacterized. Lineage: Eukaryota; Metazoa; Chordata; Mammalia; Primates; Cercopithecidae. The record is from RefSeq and is a predicted model, not a curated record. The transcript is spliced from 3 exons.